AGUCUUCCUUCUGCCUGAAUCCUGACGUGUUCUGUAUGUGUUUCUUCUGCACACUGAUGUUUGAAAACUGUGGCUUAAUGACUUUUCCAGAACAUGGAACUUUAAAGAAACUAUUUGAUGCCUAUAUUUUCCCCCAAUACAGUCACAUAUCCACUCAAAAUUUGCAAUAUCGUAGUUCCUAUAUUGCUGUUAUAUCUUUGGAAAUCGGGUUCAGAAUACUUUUUAUGACAAAAAAAAAUUGGGUAGAGGGGACAACUUUCCUAUCUGGGUCAACAUCUCAGGAAAAUCUGUGAUUAUUUAUUUGCUCUAAUUAGUAAGAUUAACUUAAUUAGCCUUAGGGGUGGAAUAACAGGGCCACUUAGCAAACUCAGGUGAUCCCAGGAUGGUUGGGAAACCUCUCUUGAAUACACCCUUACCUUCUAUUCAAGCUGUCCUCUGCACUGCAGUGCUUAUGGAGCUAAGAGAUUCAACCCAAGAAAGACAUCAAACUCUGAUUCCCUGAAACCAAAUCAAAGGGCACUUACCUAUCCAUGACAGGACCUUCACAGUCCCUUCACGGAUCGGUUCAUUUUAAGCAGGUAUCACAACUAAACACUGAUACUGUCUUGAAAGAACUUAAUAGAGAGUUGAGCCACGUGGAAUUUCAGUCUCGAAACAAGUUAGAUUUUAAGUUCCAUUUUUAUAGUCCACAGUUCAUCCACCAGACAAUAUUUUGUUUUUCAAUUUUGAGCCAGGUUAACAAUUAAUUGACUUGUGGAAAAAUUAUUGGGUCCUCAGCCGUUACGUAGGAAGAAGCUUAUUUGAAGUUGUCGUACGUACUUGAAGUUGUUUCUAAGAUUUUUUUUUAUAUUACAAAUGGACAUUGUUUCUUAAUUAUCUAAAAUUCUAAAUGGUUAUUUUUUUCUCAAGAUGAUUUGUAAAUAGCUAAUGGAUCUGUUGUAUGGUAAUCAGAGUGUAUAUUAUGCUACGUCAGAGAAAGGAGAAGGCGUAUGCUUCUUCUGCUAUGAAAAAUUCCACUGGCCAGUGAAGAUUCUUUACUCCAUGUUUAUACUGUGACAAUCUCAUUGUCUACACUAUAUAAAUAAGCUUUACACUAAGUCAUUUUUUCUUGGUCAUGGUGAAAGGGCUGGAGCCUUAGAAAUCUAUCGUGGGAUGCUGGUGUCCUCAGUUGGAGGCAGUCGUCUUACAAUGCAACAGCACUUAGGUCAGGGAAAAUGUCCAGGGCCAGCAUCGCUAUGCUUUGUUUUGUUUCAUUUCUGUUGGAAUGAGAAUAUGUAAUGCAAAAAUAAACAGGACUAUAAAGAAUGUUGUUCUGACUUACUAGAGAAUAUCCCUCAUGUUUUGUUUAGAGAAAUCUUAAAGAAGAGAAAGGGCAUACAUCCACAAAUUCACUGUGUGUGCAUAUGUAGGUUCACAUAUGCACAGACACAGUUUCAAGGACUGUUUUCGAUAUGUGGGCAGUUUCUUCCUAAUAAAGUCAUCUGUGAAUGGGUACCACAGCUCUCAUUGACAUCAGUAAGGUAGCAUUACCUGUUUAUUCUCUGCCACAUCUUACAGAAGAAUAAACUGGUGAGAGUAUAUAUUUUAUAUAUAUAUAUAAAUGUGUAUAUAUAUAUAUAUUGACUUGUUACAUGAAGAUGUUAAAAUUGGUUUUUAAAGGUGAUGUAAAUAAUGAUUUCCUUAAUGAAAAAAAUACAUAUUUUGUAUUGUUCUAAUGCAACAGAAAAACCUUUUAAUUUCUUUGGUUCCUGUAUAUUCCAUGUAUUAAGUGUAAAUAUAAUCAGACAGGUUUAAAAACAUGUGCAUGUAUGUAUACAGUUGCAAGUCUGGACAAAUGUAUAAAAUAAACCUUUUAUUUAAGUUUGAUUACCUGCUGCAUGACAAGUGCAUGGGAAACCCUGUGCAUCCGUGCAUUUGACAGAAAAUGUCUUAAGUCAGAUCAGAUGGUCGUCCACAAACGACAGUAUUCCAUUUCUGGACAUGACCUCUGCGGCUUAUGAUUUGUGAGAAAAUGUGCUUUGAAUCCAAGGGUCUUGUUUUUUUCUUUUUAAUCAACCACUUUCAACAUAAAGAACUCACAUAGCGACUUCACAAAUCGUAAAAUCCCACUGAAAACAUAACCAGGAACAGUUCAUUGUUCCUAAAUGCUGGAGUACAGGCACAUUACCAUUCAUGGUAAGAGUCUUGGGGUUUACAGCCAGUUUUGAUGCAAUCUGCUUAGUGAUAUAAUUUGCCAUUUUUAUUAUUAAAAUUUGAUUUCUUUAUGUGAUGUCAUGAAUUGUACAUACUACAGUGUGAAUUUUUUUUUGUUUUUUUUUUUAAAUCCUUUAGUGUUUACUUCCUGCAGUGAAUUGAAUAAAUGAGAAAAAAUGCAUUGUCUCUAACUUUGAAACGACUUAUUUUUGUGGGCUUUCUCUGGUUUUUAGGUUUUUCCAUUAAUGUUAAAGUUCAAGGUCAUAAAGAGAAAAGGGAAAAGCAAUAGAUCAUGUAUUUUGUCUGUUUCAGAAAAAUGAAAGGGGGAGAAAGAAGCAACUGACCAGCAAGUUAGUAUAUUUAGAAACGUGUAAUUAAAGCAUAGCUCAACAUGACAGCUGGCCUGUGGUCUGUCUUCCAUUUCUCAGUAUGUAACUGAAUGACCACUACAUGUUUUUUUUAAACUGGAGUUUGUACAGUGUUCCAAAAUAAAGUUAAUUAGAUAUAUA
This 2702-nucleotide long non-coding RNA is filed under the name Rattus norvegicus (Norway rat). Its description in RNAcentral is "long non-coding RNA NONRATT006811". Lineage: Eukaryota; Metazoa; Chordata; Mammalia; Rodentia; Muridae. The record is from RNAcentral.